RNAcentral lists this transfer RNA (68 nucleotides) under Manis javanica (Malayan pangolin). RNAcentral describes it as "tRNA-His". It matches the Rfam family "tRNA". Rfam says of the family: Transfer RNA (tRNA) molecules are approximately 80 nucleotides in length. Their secondary structure includes four short double-helical elements and three loops (D, anti-codon, and T loops). Lineage: Eukaryota; Metazoa; Chordata; Mammalia; Pholidota; Manidae. The record is from RNAcentral.
GUAAGUAUAGUUUAAUAAAACCUCAGAUUGUGGAUCUGAUAAUAGAAGACCACAACUUCUUACUUACC